Molecule: ribosomal RNA, 460 nt
Filed under: uncultured bacterium
Lineage: Bacteria
Description: partial 16S ribosomal RNA
Rfam family: Bacterial small subunit ribosomal RNA
Source: RNAcentral
CCUACGGGAGGCAGCAGUGAGGAAUAUUUGUCAAUGGACGAGAGUCUGAACCAGCCACGUAGCGUGAAGGAUGACUGCCCUAUGGGUUGUAAACUUCUUUUAUAUGGGAAUAAAAUGUUCCACGUGUGGGAUUUUGUAUGUACCAUAUGAAUAAGGCACGGCUAACUCCGUGCCAGCAGCCGCGGUAAUCCGGAGGAUCCGAGUGUUAUCCGGAUAUAUUGGGUUUAAAGGGAGCGGAGGGGGAUUGUUAAGUCAGUUGGGAAAGUUUGCGGUUAAACCGUAAGAUUGCAGUUGAAACUGGCAGUCUUGAGUACGGUAGAGGUGGGCGGAAUUCGUGGUGUAGCAGUGAAAUGCUUAGAUAUCACGAAGAACUCCGAUAGCGAAGGCAGCUCACUGGACUGCAACUGACACUGAGGCUCGAAAGUGUGGGUAGCAAACAGGAUUAGAUACCCGAGUAGUC